UACGGAGGAUGCAAGCGUUGUCCGGAAUGAUUGGGCGUAAAGGGCGCGUAGGCGGCUUGAUAAGUCUGGAGUGAAAGUCCUGUUUUCAAGAUGGGAAUUGCUUUGGAUACUGUUGAGCUUGAGUGCGGGAGAGGUUAUCGGAAUUCCCGGUGUAGCGGUGAAAUGCGUAGAGAUCGGGAGGAACACCAGUGGCGAAGGCGGGUAACUGGACCGCAACUGACGCUGAGGCGCGAAAGUGUGGGGAGCAAAC
Molecule: ribosomal RNA, 250 nt
Filed under: uncultured prokaryote
Description: partial 16S ribosomal RNA
Rfam family: Bacterial small subunit ribosomal RNA
Source: RNAcentral